GCUAAUAAUAAUAACAAUAAUAUAAAUACCAAACUUAUUUUACAUAUAUUAGAGUCUAAUCCCAGGUACGCGACCUUUAAACAUUCAUUACAUGAUAAUUAAUAGAUAUCAUUGUCUUAAUAAACUCUAACUAUUACACAAAAUACCAUAAAUCUUAUUUUGUUUGCUUUCCUUUUCCUUUGUUUCUGCAUGAACCUUCAGGUUGAUAACGAUUGGCUGAAAACAUUUAAAUUAAACAAGAAUGAGCAUUUGGGUGCCCAGCAAGUAAUAACAACAAUAAAUAUUAACUGCAAGGAUUAAAUGUUUUCUUUGGAUGACACUUCUACAACGAAUCAACAGUUGUGAAGUAAGUUGAAACACUAAUAACAAUAUAUCAAUUCUAUAUCAAAUUUUUAAAACUACUGACUAUAACUGGAGAUCAGUCGAUAGACUAUGAACAUGGUUUUCUAUUUUAGAAAAGGUUAAACAGAACUUCAUCUGUAAAUCGUCAUAACUUACAAGCACGGGGGGUGAUCAGCCCGUUAUGCCCUGUAUUGAUCAAUACUACAUGCAAGAACGAUAUUUAUCGUUCAUCUUAUCCGCCUUUGGCGCACAAAAGUUUCCCAUGUACGGGAUGUUCAUACUUAGUCGGGAAUCUGUACCAAAACAAUUUGGUUGAAUAACAAUAAAGUUCUAUCUUGUUCAAUAAUAUUUUUAAGUUUGUGUCUAGCCGGAUCAAAUAACUUAGACGACUUUUAAGUCAACGUAUACAUAUUGGAAAUCAAUAAGUAUGUAUCAUCAUGUAAUUAAAUACAAUGAUUAUCCAAGUGGGGACACUUGUAUAACCAUAUUUAGAAAUUAACGAACCGAAUAAAUAUCUAAAUUAUACAAUAAUACUGUAUUGAUAAACAAUGAUCGGAUAAUUUAAGAACUUGUAUGAAUACAAUCGAUUGGAUACAUAAUCGAUAACAAUAGAGUAAUAAUCUGGCACAAUGAUAAUAUAAUUCUGAAACUUUCUUACUCAUGUUCAUUGCAUAAAGUAAAUGCAAAGGUAGGAUACUUGCCUGGUCUGCUGCUUACAAUUAUGCAACUUAGUUUUAUCUUUUAGAUCAAGCCCUAUCAUUAAUAAAAUCAUUUAUUCGAUUAGAAUAAUAUAUCAUAUCACAUAGUACUCCUAUUUGUAGUCAGCACAUAACCUAAUCACAUUGUCACAUAAUUUUAAUAGUCAUUGAAUCACAAACAAACAUAUCCAGUCAAGUUAUCUAAGUCCAGAUCAAUUUCUGAAACAUGUCAGUGUACCGACGACUUUAUCGGGUAAUAACUGAGUCUAAAACAUUAUAUCGAAGUUCAAUAUAACUUAAACAUCGGUCACGUUAUUUUUUAAAUGAAUUAUUAUAAGUUAUCAUGAUUUUUCAAACACCGGAAUCAUUAUUAAAUAAAUAAUUCUAUUAUCAUUAAUAUUUAAUUAAUAUUAAACUAUUAAUAAAACUAUUGCCAAAAUAUUAAAGUUAUUUAUAUUAACUUAGAAUAUUUAUAAAACAUUUUUAUUACCCUUAAAUGAAUUUUAAAAUAUUUAAAAUCAUUUUUAAAUAAUUACCAUUAAUAUUUAAAUAUUAAUAUAUUAUUUAUCAAAAUAUUAAAAGUCAUUAAUUAUAACUUAAAAUAUUUUUAAUUCCUUUAUAUCCUUUUUAAAUGAUUUUUAAAUUAAUAAAACCAUUUUUAAACUAUUUAUUUAAUAUAAUUAUUAAAUAAAUCAAAUAUCAUUUAAUAUUAAAUUAUUGAUGAAAUUUACCUUUAAAUAUUAAAAGUUAUAUUUUAUAACUUAAAAUAUUUUUAAACUCAUUAUUUUCAUUUAAAAUGAUUUUUUUCUAAUAUUAAAAUCAUUUUAACCUAAUUUAUUUAAUAUAAUUAUUAAAUAAAUCUAAUUUUAUUAAUAUUAAAUAAUUAAUGAAAUUUUCUUUAAAAUAUUAAAAUUUAUAUUUUAUAACUUCAAAUAUUUUUAAAUACCUUAUUAUCAUUUAAAAUGAUUUUUAAUAUAAUAAAAUCAUUUUUAGUUAAUUUAUUUAAUGCAUUUAAUAAAUAAAUUAAAUAUCAAUAAUAUUCAAAUAAAUACUAAUAUUUACUAAAAAUAUGUCAAAUUAUUAAAAGUUAAUUUUUAUAACUUCAAAUAUAUUUUGUAAUUUUCAGAAAUUAUUUUCUAUUUUUAAUGCAUUUUUCGGAAAUUAAAAAACUAAAAUAAUUAAAUCGGUCGCUAAAGGCUUUAGCGACGGUUUCUAUCGCGGUUGGUGUUCUUGAGUUCAAGAACAUUGACAGACCAGUGUUCAAGGGGCCUUGUUUUACCAGAGUUAAUUCUCAGUCCAAAAUAUUUUUGAGAAAGCUUGAACCUUGAUCUUGUAGUGUUUAUGUAACACUACAAGUAUCAACAACAAUCUAGGUCAUAUCACACAACGAAGAUCUGGCCAUUCUAAAUCACUAUCAGACUCAAUCUGGGUUUUCUGGGUUACCCAGAAACCUAGACAGCUUCGACUAGGCACUUUCUAGCUCCAUUUUCUAUAUGUUCUGGUCAUUAGUUAAGUGGUUUCUUGGUCUAUAUAUACAUGUAGUACUCAUGUCAUAGAACAUAACUAUAGCAACAGAUCAGUCCAACAACAUUAACAUCACCAGAUUUAGCUCGGUCAAAGGCUGUCAGAAAACUUGUUCUUACGUUUUCUGGAAAUUCCAGAAAGUAGAAAAUGUUACCGGAUGGUCUACUUUGACCAUCCACUACAUCCGAUAUAUUUGUUGUUUAAGAGAUAUAAAGGCAUGAUUCUAGAGUCCAUAUUAUAGGCUACAAACUGUAUACAACAACAUCAACAAAAGGUUUAACAUAUGACAGAUCAAAGCUUUUAAAAAUCAUGUCAGACACUAAUUCACACUUUCUGGGUUACCCAAAAAGUUUUGGUCAUGCUCGGUCAACUCACUUUGACCAUGAAUAUCUUACAAUCUGGACAUGGAAUGACUGUGAUUCCACUUCCAGAUCAAAGACCUCAAAUCAAACUACAGAUCUAAAACAUAAAACAACAAAAAUCAUGAACAAAGAAGAAUCUAGGGCCAUUGACAUUUGCUUGUCAGACCAAUAUUAAUGUUCUUGAGCAAUUUUUGAAAAACAUCAUUUUAAAGCCUUUUGAUGCUAUGGAUCUAACACAUGAUUAAACACUUAAACACAAAAUUUAUCUUACUAUAUAAAAUCAAAUAGGGUUAGGGCUUUUAUACCUUUCUAAUCCAAUCUUUGAUCUAUGCUCUCCUUAACUGAUCUUGAUGUUUCUAGGGUUUAACGAGUGACUAAAACACUUAUGAAAUUAGGAGGUUUGGGAGAGAGAAAGAGUUGUUGAGAGCUUAAGAGAAAAAUGACCAAAUGAAUGAACUUUCUCUCUCUCAAAUCUAUAUAUAUAUAUAUAUAUAUAUAUAUAUAUAUAUAUAUAUAUAUAUAACUUAGAUGUAAUGAAAUGGCUGUUAAAUGGCUGAUGUGCUGGAGAUUUUAGAACAAGAGAAAGUCAAGAGUUAGCCACCAACUAAAGUUAUGGAAAAAUCUACAAGUUAUUUCAUAAAUAAUGCAAGAAGGGCAUUUAAGUCAUUUUACUUGUAAUUUUAAUGGCCAAAUUCUAAUCUUGACAAACCCUUAAGGUUUGACCCUUAGGGUUUAACCCUAAGGUUUUCCAAAAAUGGAUUUCUAGGUUUUCAUUUAGGGUUUGAAAAUAAAAAAUUAGUUUCCUAAAAAUGUAAUUUAGAGUUUCCUAAUUACAAUUAGUUUUCUAAUUACAUUAUACUUGAACAUUUAGGGUUUAAGAUCCAAUAAUUAGUAUUAGGGCUUACAAUUAACAAUUAGGGUUACCAAUUUAGCAAUUAGGGUUUCUAAUUUACGAUUAGAGUUUCCUAUAAUUAGGUUUUUCCUAAUUAGCAUUAAUAUUUAUAAUAAAUGUCAUUAAUCACAUAACAUAAUUACUAGACAGAAUUUAAAGUCUCAUUUGACUUCAAAAUUAGGGUUUAUCAGUAAUAUUAGGGUUUUGUAGGUUAUAUUAAAAUUGUUUCAAAUAUUAACCUUACACACAUAAUAUACAUAUUUAUAGUAAAGAAAUAAAAAUAAUAUUAUAUUAUUAUUCCCAUUCCUUAGUCAAAAUCCAGAAUUAGGGUUUGAAUUCCAUAUCUGAUUUAUCUUGCAUGAAUAGCACUAUCAAUUAAGUUAAAAUAAUUAAUUUAAUAAUCUGAACUAAAAUUCAUAUAAUAAAAUAAUUAUUCUAAUAAUUAUUUCAUAUAUUAUUUGAAUAAUAUAUAAUCAUAUUUUCAUAGAAAUAAAUAAUAAAAAAUAUUUCUACUACAAAAUUAAUUAUAACAAUAAAAUUUAUAAUGGUCAAUAAUUCUAAGAAAAUUAUUUGAAAUUAAUCAUGUAAUAAAUAAAUUUUAUUUAUCACAUAUAUACAUAUACUUUUACCUUAUACAUAUUCCCACCUUUAAAAUAAUAAUAAUAAAAAAUUUAUACGCCAAAUUUCUGAUUUAAUUAUAUAGAAAAUAUCGGGUUGUUACAUAUAGUGGGUAAAUACUUUGGUAAAAAAAACCAUAUGGAAAACACUUUGAUUUUGUUUUAAUACAGUUUUCCAUGGGAUGAAUCAUUAAUAAAGCACAAUUAAACUUGGUUUCAGAGAGGAUUAGUGCUAACAGAAUUAAAUCUUGAUAGGUCAUUUCUGACCUACCCCCAGUUCUAGGUACAAGAUUAGCAUAAACAAGCUUAUGAACAACACUAUUCAGAGGUGUUGUUUCAAAAAAAAAAAGUUUGCAAUAAAAUAAAUUCAGCAGUAGGACAGUCUUUGGCAACCCUUAAUAAGUGUUGCAAAAUAGACAAGUUUUCAAAUUCUAGUCGCCCCUUAAGAGUAAAACGUGAAAGGCCAAAACAGGGAAUAUCUAAUAAAACACUCAAUAAAGUAGAGUCGAUUAAAAUCAUUUUUUUUUUGGACAAAAGAGUGAAUCCUAUCAGAUGUAACAGACAUGUUGGCAUAAAAAUGUUUAAUCAACAUAGGAUAAGCAGAUUUGGGUGGAAAUAACAUAGUAGACAAACAAAGCAUCGACUCCAAUAUUGUGAAAAAGGACCGGGUCAACAGGUUUGCCAAACGCAAUAAGUUUAUUGAUCAUUAAUUUUUGGAAAUGAGUGGCAUACUUUGGAGAUCUAAAAGUAAAAGAUUUACCAUGAGUUUUAGAAACUUAAAGAGUAGAAUCAGAGAUUCUCACUGUGAUGGGUUUUUACCCUUUGAUGGCUGCUUUGAAGAAGCCCCAAAAUCGGAUGGAAUCUUUUGAAGAUUUCUGUUGAGAUGACGCUUCUCCCUUGGUGCCAUGAAUGAUUCCCUCUCUCGACGAAUUGUCUAUCGGCCUGUAAUGAAGGUGUGUCCUCGUGUCUUAGCCAUAGAUUUGGUGAUUAAAAACAAACAAAACCCAAGUUUUAUUUUUGUGGAAGAUCGAAUAGAUACGAAACAUAGAAUAAAAUUGAAUUGGCUUUUUAAACCCUUGUUUGUGUGUAACUGAUGGAUAGAAAAGAGAGUUGGGAUAGAAAAGGACACAGUGAGAGAUGUGCACGGUUGGGCUAGGGAGGGAGGAGGCCAUGUUUGGAUGUUUAAAGAAAAACUAGGGCUUCGAUUUUAAU
This 5647-nucleotide long non-coding RNA is filed under the name Panax ginseng (ginseng). Its description in RNAcentral is "long non-coding RNA (PGIN_LNC012688)". The record is from RNAcentral. Lineage: Eukaryota; Viridiplantae; Streptophyta; Magnoliopsida; Apiales; Araliaceae.